Molecule: ribosomal RNA, 445 nt
Filed under: uncultured bacterium
Lineage: Bacteria
Description: partial 16S ribosomal RNA
Rfam family: Bacterial small subunit ribosomal RNA
Source: RNAcentral
CCUACGGGAGGCAGCAGUCGAGAAUCAUUCACAAUGGGGGAAACCCUGAUGGUGCGACGCCGCGUGGGGGAAUGAAGGUCUUCGGAUUGUAAACCCCUGUCAUGUGGGAGCAAAUUAAAAAGAUAGUACCACAAGAGGAAGAGACGGCUAACUCUGUGCCAGCAGCCGCGGUAAUACAGAGGUCUCAAGCGUUGUUCGGAAUCACUGGGCGUAAAGCGUGCGUAGGCUGUUUCGUAAGUCGUGUGUGAAAGGCGCGGACUCAACCCGCGGACGGCACAUGAUACUGCGAGACUAGAGUAAUGGAGGGGGAACCGGAAUUCUCGGUGUAGCAGUGAAAUGCGUAGAUAUCGAGAGGAACACUCGUGGCGAAGGCGGGUUCCUGGACAUUAACUGACGCUGAGGCACGAAGGCCAGGGGAGCGAAAGGGAUUAGAUACCCCGUAGUC